Long non-coding RNA from Capsicum annuum, 3890 nucleotides. RefSeq lists it as uncharacterized. The record is from RefSeq and is a predicted model, not a curated record. The transcript is spliced from 5 exons. Lineage: Eukaryota; Viridiplantae; Streptophyta; Magnoliopsida; Solanales; Solanaceae.
CUUAUUCUUAAUAAUUUCUUCCAAUGUGGCAGUGCCCCCUCCACAAUUAGUGUUUUCUACUAAUACUUUCUAGAAUCAUUGUUUGCACCAACCUACUUAGCUUGUUUGUAUUGCAUCUUCAGGUUUGCAAUUUUUUCUCCUCUUCUUUCCUUUGCUUUGCUUUUCCGAAAUUUCUUUAUACUUUCCAAUUUCUUCCUCUUCUCUUCUCUUAUCUCACUUCACCACCGACAGAUCUUCAAUUCCUUCACAGAUCUUCUUUAUACACUACAGCCAACAAUUGUUGCAGUGUAUGUUGUAAGCCACACAACCCACCCAAACUCAACUGGAUCUUUUUGCUUUGUUGACAUUGAAGUGGUAAUUUGGAAUUAUGGGUGUAUGAUGGAGUAGUCUUGUGGUUUAGGGUUUAAGCUUUUUUUCUUUUUGCUGGAUUGGGAGUUUAUUGAUCGCGUAGAUGCUUGUGGGUGUUAGUACUACUCAGAGCUGGAAAGAUAUGUACAGAAGCAUGUCAUCUAAUAAUAUUAAAGGAUUGGUUCUUGCAUUGUCUUCAAGUGUCUUUAUUGGUGCUAGCUUCAUCGUUAAGAAAAAGGGAUUAAAGAAAGUUGUUGCUUCUAGCGUCAGGGCUGGUAACUGUUGCCUCCACCCUACGGAUAUUAAAUUCUUGAAAAUAAAACUACUUGAUUUAUGUUUAAUUUUGUAUGUGCUGAUGUUUUUAUUCGGUCUCAUGAAUAUUUUAGCAUAGUUGUUAUUGCUAUAAUGGUUUUUCUUAGCUAAGAUCAUGAGUAAUCAUGUACAUGUGUGAAAUAAAGUGACAUUUUUAGGUUUUAUUAUUAAUCACUGUAAUGGAAUGGGCCAAUUUGAGGAAUGAAUAUUAUAGCUAUCAACAAAUAGUUUGGGAUGUGAAUGAUAUGUGUGCACCUCAACCAAUUUCAUAAGAUACUAACCCCCUUCCACCAACAACAUUGCCCUAUAACUCUGUCCAAGGCUAGAUUAAAUGGUAAGAAAUACUUAGUGUUGUCUCUUUGAUAGGAUUGAACCCGAGAUAUCAUGGUGCUCAGCCCAUUUUAUUGACCGCGAGGCCACACCCUUGGCUGUGGGAUUGGUGCAUUUACUACAAAAGUUUCUUGGUACAAAUUGUUUGCCUACAACAUUUGUUUGGAUGAUUGUAUAUUACUAUGUACUGAUUUGAGUAAUAAUUGGUCGCGAACCACUUAAUAUUAAUGGCCCGUAACCAUUUGGAUUGCCGUUCUUUCUCUCAAAGAAAAUUCACUUGAGUAUUCAUCAGGAACUUGGUUUUGUCUACUGAAUCUUAGAGUGAAAUAUACUUGUUCUACUCCAAAUGAUAGAGAACCCAGUUCAUUAUUUUCUAGGUAAGUUUGAUGGAUAUAUCUUUAGAAUUUUUUACUCUUGAAUUCUCUCAAUGUAUUACUUUAUAUUCUUCAACGAUCGAGUUACAUUCAUAGGCUACAAUUUAAUUAGUUGACGUAGUGUAAUUCAAUGUGUUCCAAAAUAUCAAGUCAAUUUAUGAUUUGGAUUUUUGAUUUAACAUAAUUAUUUUUGAAAAUCUUGGAUUUUAAGGUAUACGAUAUUACAAAAUGUUACUACUAACAAGGAGAAGAGGACAUGGUGCUAACUAUUGCCUUUUCCACUUGACGGGAAACUAUAUUCGGCUAACUGCUAACCUUCCACACUAAUUCUCAACCUUCAUGCCUUAUUAUCUAAGGUCAUAAAAGGGAGAGGAAGACAAGAUAAGUAGCACUUUGAACCAAAAAAAGGGAACAACUGUGGUUGACAAUUUGCUUAGUAGUGAUGAUAUUCAUUACAUGCUUGGUGCCUUGAAACUGUAAAUAGAAUAUGACAAUGAAAACGAACGAGUUGUUGUUGAAGGUUGUGGUGGGAUGUUCCCUAUUAGUAAAUAAUCCAAGGAAGAAAUUCGACUUUUCCAUGGAAAUUCAGGAACUGCAAUGAGGUCACUAACAGAAGUGGUUGUUGUAGCUGGUGGAAAUUCAAGGUAUUUGUCAGCAACGUGAGGUUUUGAGAGCAUGAAUGAUUAGAUGUCUACUAGAUCUUGAAAAGUUUGUAUGAUGCAUACCACUGUUUGUACUUAAUGGAGUUCCUCGGAUGAGAGAGACCAAUUAGUGAUUUAGUUGAUGGUCUUAAAUGUCUUGGUGCAGAGGUUGAUUGUUUCCUUGGUACGAAAUGUCCUCCUGUUCGAAUUGUCAACAAAGAGGGUCUUCCACGAGGGAAGGCGAGGAUUAAAAAAUCUAUUAUGCCAUAUUUAUAAUUUUAAAAAAAAGUCUUAAACUGUAAUAUGAACAAGUAACUAGGUUGCAGAAGCAGAGAAGACUUUGCUUAUAAAGUUAAAGUAAUCUAUGGCCGGAAGAAAUUGACAUAGUCUAACCUAUUUUCUAGGACGCUUUUGAUCAUUAGUUGCAAAAGUUUAUUGCUAACUCUGAUGAAGUUCAAUUCCUUAAGAUGUGGGUUAAUUGGCAUGAACUCAAGUAAAGGCAAUCUUGGAUGGUCAGCUUGGAGAGUGAAGGAAAUGGUGAAAGUAGGAGUUGUUCAGGAAAUGACGAUAAUUCACCCAGCCAUUAUUUCUUUUUCCACCAUCCUUUCAAGCAAGGCAAGUUACAAUGUUUCAAUUCUUUCAAUGAUGGGAAAUACAUUGAAGAUCCUUUUUGUGGUUCCAUUCCAAGUUGAGAUCCAUUGUAGGAAGCAUGUUCAAUGUAAUCUAGUAAGGUCAAACUUUCAAGUUUAAGGUACUGGAGAGAAGGAAGACACCCAAAUGGUGAAAGACUUUUGCAUACCCAUCAUCCAUUUUGGGAAACUUUGGCCUCUGUGUCUUUCUAUGAAAAGUACCUUCAAAUUUUCAUGUGGUUGAAGGCUAUCCAACAGCAGCUCAUUAUAUUCAUCACCGACGACUUCUUCUGUCCAUUCUAAUCUCAGUGAUUCAAAAUGAAAAUUCAUUUUCAUUGAGGACAAUCAAUGAUGAUGAGGUGCUUCGACACAGAGUUAAGUAUUCUACGUCCUACAGAAUAAUCUAUUUUAAAUUUAAUGACAAUUACAAAUGAAUCUAUUUAUAUGUUUUUUAAUGUCUCGGGAGCUUAUAUUAAACAAUUUACUUAUAAAAUACGAAUCAGUGGAGAAUGUUAGCAUCUGAUUUUACUUCUAUUUAGACCAUGUGUUGUACGACAAUGAAACGAAAACAAUAAAAGAUAAGAGUAACUAGAACUCUAGAUUGUUAUUGAGAGGGAAUUGUUCUUAUAUAAAAUUUAUACGUACUGUAAGUAAAGAGCUAUAUAAAUCAUGUUGUAUUAAUCUCUCUUUCAUUUAUGGUUAAUGAUCUUUUAUUUCAGUGCAAAGCAUUGUGUUUACUAUUAUUGUUGGAGUCGUAGUCAAAGUUACUCAAAAAGCACUCCAUUCUUUGAUGCUUCAGUUCAGAGACCGGUUGUAAAGUUGCCUGAGGUGACUGAAACACUGCUACGUUGAUGAAGGUGAUGUGUCCUGCACCACAGGAAAAUUAAAUCAAAAAUAGCGUAUACGAUGACACGGUAUGGUGUGCAGGUAAGUUGCUUAAAGUCUGUGAAACAAUUGUAACUACAACAACAAAUAGAAGUGAAAAAAAAUUGAACAAUAGUAGUAGGAUUAAUAUGCAGGGAAUUGAAAAAAAUUUAAUAUUUGUGAACUCUUUAGUGAUCUAUUUUUUGAACUAAAGAAAUAAGGAUAAAAAGCUAAACUUGAUUUUCUAUUACUUUAGUCACUCUUAAAUACGGAAAGUGAAUCACUUUAAUGUGAGUUGCAACAUACAUUGAGGCGUGCUUGAAUGUCCUAAGUUGAAGUUCUAAUACUAAGUGCAUGAGCCUUAAUAUUUGAGGUGAUUAUAAGUUUACUAA